Molecule: ribosomal RNA, 387 nt
Filed under: uncultured euryarchaeote
Lineage: Archaea; Methanobacteriati; Methanobacteriota
Description: bacterial SSU rRNA
Rfam family: Archaeal small subunit ribosomal RNA
Source: RNAcentral
GCGCGAAAACUUUACAAUGCACGCAAGUGUGAUAAGGGAACUCUAAGUGCUUAUACACAGUAUAGGCUUUUGCCAAAUGCAAAAAGUUUGGCGAAUAAGUGGUGGGUAAGACGGGUGCCAGCAGCCGCGGUAACACCCGCGCCACGAGUGGCAAUCGAUUUUAUUGGGCCUAAAGCGUCCGUAGCUGGUCUGGAAAAUCUCUUGUGAAAAUGUUGAGCUUAACUUAACAAAGUGCUGGAGACACUUCCAGACUCGGAACCGGUAGGGGUCAGAAGUAUGUUAGGGGUAGCGGUAAAAUGUUAUAAUCCCUAAUAGACUACCUGUGGCGAAGGCGUCUGACUAGGACGGAUUCGACAGUGAGGGACGAAAGCCAGGGGAGCGAUCCGG